This 3369-nucleotide ribosomal RNA is filed under the name Fusarium sacchari. Its description in RNAcentral is "16S ribosomal RNA". It matches the Rfam family "Bacterial large subunit ribosomal RNA". The record is from RNAcentral. Lineage: Eukaryota; Fungi; Ascomycota; Sordariomycetes; Hypocreales; Nectriaceae.
AGCUAUAUAUUAAAGAGAUUUAUUUAUAUAAAUAGGUUUGCUAGCUGAUUGUGUAUAUACGCAGGCCAAUGCUUCUAAUUUCAUAGCAAGCUCGCUUGCUAUGAAAUAGGCAACCAGUAAUAUAAGCAAGUGUGUGCUAUUUAUAGCGCUAGCCUACAAACCUAUAAUUAUAUUAACUCUAAGAGAAAUUUAAUAAUAAACGAAGUGAAUUGAAAUAUCUUAGUAACUUUAGGAAAAGAAAUCAAAAGAGAUUCUAUGAUUAGCGUGAGCUAAAAUAGACUAGCCUAAAAAGUCAAAUGGUGGAUAAACUGUUUAAAUUAAAUGGGGAACCUUCCUCAAAGGCUAAAUAUAAUAUAUAAGCGAUAGUGGAAAGUACCGUGAGGGAACCAAAACAAAAACAGUGAUUUUAUAAGCAGUUCGGAAAAAUAAAAAAAAAGUUAGAACGUACCUUUUGCAUAAUGGGUCACCAAGUUAACAUUAGAUGCGAGUAGGAGGGAGCAGCCCCGUGCAUACGUAGUUAAACCGAGCGUUAAAAUAACGGUAAGUAUCUAAAGUUAGACCCGAAGCCUGGUGAUUUUACCAUAAUCAGGAUUAUAAAAGUCCGAACGGAAUAUUGUAGCAUAAAUAUCCGAAGAAUUAUGGUAGGUGUAGUGAAAGACAAUACUGACCAGGAUAGCUGGUUUUCUGCGAAACCUAUAACAGUAGGCAAUUUAAGUAUAAUAUCUUAGCAGGUACAGAAUUUAAUCUCAGACAAGACAUAAGGCUUAGCUUGUUAGCAAGUAAAGCUCAUGUUUUAUUUUGUACAAAUUGGGGGAUCAUGAAGAUUUUAUCAGUGAGUAUGUAGACUCGGAAUGGCAAAGAUAUAUCUUAAAUCAUCAGACAUAGAAUGAUAAGGUUGUAUGUCAAAAGGGAAACAGCCCAGAACAAGAGUUAAGGUUCCUAAAUUAUUAGUUGAGUGAAAUUAAGAAGGUUUUUAUUAAAGUCGACAAGGAGAUAGGCUUAGAAGCAGCCAUAAUUUUAUGACCUCGUAACAGAGCGCUUGUUAAGUUUUAAAAGCAUCGAAAAUUUAUCGGAUCUAAACAAUAUACCGAAACCUUGUCCAUAUUAUUUUAUAAUUAAAGUUUAAUUAUAAUUAAAUGGGGUAGCAGAACGUUGAGCUAAAUUAAGAUUUUUAUUUUUUAAAUGAAAUUAUAAUAAUUUAACUCAAGUGAUAAUGGUGACAUGAGUAACUAAAAGAAAAAAUAAAAUUUUUCCGCCUAAAGCUUAUGGAUGUAAUUAAGUAACGGCCUCUAAGUUUAUAUUAUCUAAAGAUUUAAACGAUGAGAUAAUCUUUUGUACUAAGGACGACAUUUUAAGUGAAAAAUGUACUGGAAAAAUAGUACUAAAUUAAUAGCUAUAGCUAAUUAGGGCUAUAAAAAAAAAAUAUAUUUUUUUUUAUAUAGCUCGCUAUGGCUAUAAAUGAAAAGUAACCGUACCUAGAAUCUGAAACAAGUAAGCUAGUAGAGAAUACGAAGGCGUAAAUGAGCUAACAAUCAUAAAGGAACUCGGCAAAUUGACUACCGUAACUUCGGGAUAAGGAGAGCUCAUUAUUCUUGAUUAAUAUCAGGUAAAGAGGAAGAAGCAUGAAAUAGUGUUGUACGACUGUUUAAUUAAAACACAGCACUUUGCUGAAAGAUUAAAAAUCUAAGUAUAGAGUGUGAUGUCUGCCCGGUGCCGGCUGGUUAACAGAUAUAAUUAAAUAUACUAAUAUUUGAUGUAGACGGAAACCCCGGUUAAAGGCGGCCUUAACGUGAGGGUCCUAAGGUAGCGAAAUGCCUUGGCCGUUAAAUGCGGUCUUGCAUGAAUGAUGUAACGAUACAACAGCUGUCUCUAUGAUUGACUCAGUGAAAUUGGAAUAGCUGUGCAGAUACAGUUUACCUCUAGUUAGACGAGAAGACCCUAUGCAGCUUUACUGUCACUAAUUAUAGAGUAUGAUAAACAAUUUUCAGAUUAUAAGGUAAUUGACGGCUAGCUUGUUCAGCAAGCUAGCUCUAUGACAAUGAGAAUCCUUUAUUUUUUUUUCAUAUGAAUGAAUUGGUUUAGGAUUAUGAGUAGGUAGCUGCUUCUGCUACUUGACGCAAGCAUUGCUUACGUCAAAUGUCUGAAGUAUGCAUUCCAGCUCAUGCAUAGUAAAUCAACCUAAUUCAGCUUAUUUUCCUUUCUGCCAUAAGCGCAUAAUGAUAGAUUUAACUUAAAUUUUGAUUUAUGCCGAGCCCCUACGGGGCUACUGCAGAAAUAGAUAAGUACCCUUGGCUAAGGAACUAUCGCUAGGGGACAGUUUAUGUGGGGCACAGACCCUGUAAAGAGUAAACAGGAGUGUCUAAUAAUUUAUAAUUAUUUUGUUUGCGAUUUAAGAUAGUGAAACUAUUUUUAAUCAUAUAAAAUUAUUUAUAUGUACAUUCGUUGUAUAUAUAUUUAAAAAAAGGUAGGAUUUUCACUAUAUAGAAAUUAGAGAUAAUAAAAAUAUUAAGAAUAUACCUUUCAGGUAGCACUAAUAUUUUUUAGCUAUUAAGACAGGCGGCAGCUAUCAAGAAGCUAGCCUCUAAUAGUUAUGUAUUAAUUAUCUAAAAAGCUCAACGGCUAAAUCUUGCCUUACUGUUUGAUUAUCAACAAAUCUUACAGUUGCGUAAGCAGGGCAUAGGAUCACAAGAUGCAACAAGGAAAGAUCUUGGAUUAUUGGAAAAGCUACGCUAGGGAUAACAGGCUAAUUUGCGCAAGAGUGUACAAAAUGAGUGCGCGGUUUGGCACCUCGAUGUCGGCUUAACUUAUCCUCAUGGAUGCAGGAACUAUGUAGGGUGCGACUGUUCGUCGAUUAAAAAGUUACAUGAGCUGGGUUAAAUACGUCGUGAGACAGUAUGGUUUCUAUCUUCUAGGGGGAAUUAGAAUAUAAUAAGAACUAACUUUUGUACGAAAGGAACAAGAAGAAUUUAAUUUGUAAAAGGGUUAAAUAAUAGUUACUAACCUAUGGUUUACCUGUUGUCUAUGUGCCCAAAUAUUAAAAUAUAUAUGGAGGAAGCUCCUUAAGAGCUUCCCCCGCAAAUUAUAUAUAUCUGUAUAGCUAGCCUGCGGACUCCGGUUAUGCCUGAGUUUGGCAAGCUAAAGCUAUACAUAGGGAUGUUUCUUUCACUAAGAUAAAUAUAUAGCAUAGGCACGGCAGGAAAGCUAAGUUGGUUAAGGAUAAGUGCUGAAAGCAUAUAGGCACGAAGCUUAUCUUAAGAUAUUUCUUAAAUAUACGUAAAAUAUUAUUACGAAGGAUGUAAUAUAGGCUUUAUCCGUACGAAUCAGGAGAUUUUUAAGAAUAAAGUACUAAUUUUAUAAAUAACUAUUUAU